UCAUCAGCCACGGUCAAUCCACUGCUGGCUGAAGGUCCCUCUCUCUUCUCUUUCGUUAAAUGGUCCAACGUUUCACGGGUCCCCCACGGAAUGCGGCGUCAUCUCUCCCCGAGUGCAACUCGGCGCAAUGCGAUGUUGAUUUAGAUCGCGUCGAGGCAAUAUACUACAAUGGAACGUGGAAUUGUACCCCCAAAUGGAUGAGGACCGCAGGGGGAAAUGAACACCUGCCAACCAAGGCUCCUGAGAGAAGAGUGGCAGCUCUUGGUUGUCAGCAGGGGGCCGUGCAACAAAUACAUUGUUGUACUGCACUACGCGUCGACGUCUACGCUCCCCGACUGCACAAACCCGCAUUGAUGAGCGUGAAUGUUCACGGCUGAAUUCAACAUCGACGUAGGACGACGUUUCACUCGAUGGAAGUUCCCCGUGCAGCAACACACAACGCUGGGACCACUUGGAGGUGCAUCACGCGGCGUUAUGAUGGCGGUGGUGCUGCUGCUGCUGCGUUGCCAAUGCUGCACAAGCACAGCCAACGACAACACUCAACCCAUCGUCAAUAACACUGUGGCCUGACAAGAGAAGACAUUUAUAGGCGACGUCUCGGCCAAUGGCCCCACUUCCUAGCCCUUAAACAGAAAUACCAGAGAGAGGGUUGAAGAUUGAACUUAAUACCAUGGCGCCCGAUGAAAAUCACACAUUAUUAUUUUUAUAUAUGAUGACCAGUUUCUAAAUGGUCAUAUGAAUAGCUACCUAACAGUAGCUAUCGGGUUCCAUACAAUCACUUAAGUAGUCAAACAGCGUUCCUACAUAAAACGAAUUAAUACAUUAAAAAAAAGUGAAAUUAUAAAACGUGACUUCAGUUUCCGGCGUGACCACCAUCAGCAACGGGGCCCGGAGCGCGAGGAGUCGAAGCGUUCCCUUCGAGGCCGAGUGCCCCUCGCGGCGUGCCGGGGUCCGUGAGACGGGCGACAGCGCCACCUGGCGGCCACCUCGGCCCCGUGGUGGUCACUGCUACGCGGGUUUUUCUCCCGGUCCCUCCGGGUUUUCCCAACUCCACAUUAAGAAUAAACGCCACGCUACUGCUACACGAUGGUGGGAAGCCACUUCGUUGAGCUAUCAUUUGUGAUCGCCAGGUCGCUUCUAAAAUAAGAGCUAUUUCGGUCAGUAGGGCCUUGACCUGGUAAAAUAAAAAAAAAAUUAUGGGGCCGUCCAUAAAUGACGUCACGCGAUUUUUGACGUUUUUUGACCCCCCUCCUUCGUCACAC
This is a long non-coding RNA of Lethenteron reissneri (Far Eastern brook lamprey), 1262 nucleotides long. RefSeq lists it as uncharacterized. NCBI's taxonomy places the organism in Eukaryota, Metazoa, Chordata, Hyperoartia, Petromyzontiformes, Petromyzontidae. The record is from RefSeq and is a predicted model, not a curated record.